GUGACGCUGCCACGGCCCUCGUGAAGGAUCCCAGGUUCAUCCCCUGGUGUCCGGUGUGCCUCAGGGACUUCGCCUGGAGCUUCCAGGAACCUCCUGGUGGGCCCUUGCGCAGUUAAUGAAGACUGGAGACAGGGAGACAAGUUAAGAUGGCACUUCAGUGGCCCAGGUGUUGAAUGUGUCGUCUUUGUGUGGUUCACAACAGAAAAGUGGGCCCCCAGGAACAAUGUCUGUUCUGUGCAACUGUGUCCUCAGUUAUAAUGGAC
Bubalus bubalis (water buffalo) is the source of this 263-nucleotide long non-coding RNA. RefSeq lists it as uncharacterized. The record is from RefSeq and is a predicted model, not a curated record. NCBI's taxonomy places the organism in Eukaryota, Metazoa, Chordata, Mammalia, Artiodactyla, Bovidae. The transcript has 2 exons.